Pteropus alecto (black flying fox) is the source of this 118-nucleotide non-coding RNA. The record is from Rfam. Lineage: Eukaryota; Metazoa; Chordata; Mammalia; Chiroptera; Pteropodidae.
GUCUAUGGCCAUGCUACCCUGAACAAGCCCAAUCUGUCUGAUCUCAGAAGCUAAGCAGGGUGGGGCCUGGUUAGUACUUGGAUAGGAGGCCACCUAGGAAGACCAGGUGCCGUAGGUG